GGCCUCAUAGCUCAGUCGGUUAGAGCGCUGGUCUAAUAAACCAAAGGUCGCAAGUUCAAGUCUUGCUGGGGCCA
Molecule: transfer RNA, 74 nt
Filed under: Candidatus Kaiserbacteria bacterium
Lineage: Bacteria; Candidatus Kaiseribacteriota
Description: tRNA-Ile
Rfam family: tRNA
About the family: Transfer RNA (tRNA) molecules are approximately 80 nucleotides in length. Their secondary structure includes four short double-helical elements and three loops (D, anti-codon, and T loops).
Source: RNAcentral